GAUUGAAUAGUUCAUGAGGAAAUUGGGAGAAUAGGAGAGAAUUGAUGACAGUUCGCAAUGGAUAAUUGCAUUCUUGGUCUCGAAAUGGAGAACACUCAAAGGAUCAGAGGCUACAGUCUCCAGACGUUUGCGAUUGUUGGGGCUGGACAAUAGACCCAAGCAACAGUGAAGCUAUGUGUCAGUUUUAUUUCAAUAUGGAUGCAACGUUGGUUGGAAAAUGCAGAACUUUGCACGCUAUGGCCAUUUUGUCGCAUUUCCGAGCGAAAAAAUGGAGAUCUCUCGA
Athalia rosae (coleseed sawfly) is the source of this 283-nucleotide long non-coding RNA. RefSeq lists it as uncharacterized. The transcript is spliced from 3 exons. The record is from RefSeq and is a predicted model, not a curated record. NCBI's taxonomy places the organism in Eukaryota, Metazoa, Arthropoda, Insecta, Hymenoptera, Athaliidae.